Molecule: ribosomal RNA, 302 nt
Filed under: uncultured Sphingomonas sp.
Lineage: Bacteria; Pseudomonadati; Pseudomonadota; Alphaproteobacteria; Sphingomonadales; Sphingomonadaceae
Description: bacterial SSU rRNA
Rfam family: Bacterial small subunit ribosomal RNA
Source: RNAcentral
GCGUAACGCGUGGAAUCUGCCCUUGGGUUCGGAAUAACAUCGGGAGACUGAUGCUAAUACCGGAUGAUGUCGAUAAGACCAAAGAUUUAUCGCCCAGGGAUGAGCCCGCGUAGGAUUAGCUAGUUGGUGGGGUAAAGGCUUACCAAGGCGACGAUCCUUAGCUGGUCUGAGAGGAUGAUCAGCCACACUGGGACUGAGACACGGCCCAGACUCCUACGGGAGGCAGCAGUAGGGAAUAUUGGACAAUGGGCGCAAGCUGAUCCAGCAAUGCCGCGUGAGUGAUGAAGGCCUUAGGGUUGUAA